CCUACGGGUGGCAGCAGUGGGGAAUAUUGCGCAAUGGGCGAAAGCCUGACGCAGCGACGCCGCGUGAGGGAUGAAGGUCUUCGGAUCGUAAACCUCUGUCAGCAGGGAAGAACGGUCACUGUGCUAAUCAGCAGUGAAUUGACGGGACCUGCAAAGGAAGCACCGGCUAACUCAGUGCCAGCAGCCGCGGUAAAACGGAGGGUGCGAGCGUUAAUCGGAAUUACUGGGCGUAAAGCGCUCGUAGGCGGUAUGUCAAGUCAAGGGGGAAAUCCCGGCGCUCAACGUGGGAACUGCCUUUGAAACUGGCAAACUGGAGUGUGUGAGAGGAUAGUGGAAUUCCUGGUGUAGGAGUGAAAUCCGUAGAUAUCUGGAGGAACAUCAGUGGCGAAGGCGACUAUCUGGCACAUAACUGACGCUGAGGGGCGAAAGCGUGGGUAGCAAACAGGAUUAGAUACCCCUGGUAGUC
Molecule: ribosomal RNA, 466 nt
Filed under: uncultured bacterium
Lineage: Bacteria
Description: partial 16S ribosomal RNA
Rfam family: Bacterial small subunit ribosomal RNA
Source: RNAcentral